UCAGCUCCCAGCACAGCGGACUGUACUACUGCACUGCUCACAACCAGCUGGGACAGCACACCUCUAGACCAACACACCUGGAUGUGAAGGGUGAUGAGGAGAGCUCAGCGAAGGUGUGGAAGCUGCAUGCUGUAUGGGGAGCUGCUGCACUCGUUCCUGCUCUGCUUCUCUCUCUUCUUACUGCCGUUCUGUGCAUUAAGAGGAAGAGAGGAGCAGAGAGAGACACAGACAUUCAGAGUGUUCCAAAGCCUGGAGAUGACACAUACACAGCACUGAACCCCAUGAAUACGUCCCCGGAUUAUGACACUCUGCAAAAUGUUAAAAGCUCUGCCAGUGACACUUACACAACCCUGAACCCUGCGACCGUGUCCUCUGAUUAUGACACGCUGACAGGUGUGGCUACUCGACUCAGUGAGGAGAAGUACUCCAGAACUGGUGAAUGAGAACUAACGGUUGACUUUGGUUAGUAACGGCUCAGGAAGGAUGCUCAGGCUUUUUCUCAUCAUCGCCUCUUCACUCGCUUGAUCUCUGUUCACGCUGACAUCAGUGGGGAAAUAAUCACUGAUUCAAUCCAUCAGCUCUGAUCUGUUGGUUAAAUUUCUUGUUACUGUCUUACAACUUUGUUC
Ictalurus punctatus (channel catfish) is the source of this 626-nucleotide long non-coding RNA. The record is from Ensembl. Lineage: Eukaryota; Metazoa; Chordata; Actinopteri; Siluriformes; Ictaluridae.